This 29-nucleotide small RNA is filed under the name Bombyx mori (domestic silkworm). Its description in RNAcentral is "ovarian small RNA-32211". The record is from RNAcentral. Lineage: Eukaryota; Metazoa; Arthropoda; Insecta; Lepidoptera; Bombycidae.
UGAGCGGUCUCGAACGCCGUGGUCCACAG